CUGGGGGAACAUAGCCUCGAGCAGCAGCGAGAUGAGAUUUGAAAGACAAGGCACGCCUGCUCCUGCUGCUGCUACGUAGGACCAUAGGGGAAUAGUUGGCCCCUGAAAACUCAAGAAGAGGUUGAGGUUUUGAGGAGAAAGAAGCAGAAAGUCGAGGAGGAGGUAUGACCAAGUAGUUGUUUGGAAUAAACAACGAAUUCGCCAUUACAGUUUGCUCUGCUUUUUACGAGUUUAACAAACUCUCCGCUUCUUCUAUCUCCGCCGAUACCUCACCCUCAGCGGACAAACUGAAAAAACUAUAAAUAAAUAAUUGGUGGGCCUAACCGGACUGGGCCCAAAGCGAGUAAAAGAAAAAAUAUAAAGAAAAAAAAUUCUAUGGGUUAGGCAGACACGUGCUACGUCUAGACGGUAACAAGUGUUACAAUCCUAAUGGGUCGGGGGUCCACCAUUAAAUAAGAAAAAGAAAAUAAAACUAAACUACAGCCCUGUGGGUGAGGCGGACACGUGCUACGUCUAGACGGUGACAGGUGUUAUGGGCCCAAACGGGCGAGGGGUCCACACCUUUUGAAAAUGAAGAGAAAUGAAAAAAAGUAAAGAUUGAAUCAGUUCUAAGUGUCAUGGGCUGAAAUCUUCCAAAUCACCGCCGCCGCCGUGACGGUCUACACCGGCGGAUCUCCGAUUUCACCUCGGUAAGGGUAACCUCACGCUCCGGCGGGUCUAUUAAGUGCUUGUGUUGCUGGCAUGUUGUGUGUCUGUGUUGCUUGCUGUUUUGUAGAUAUUGUACAUUUGAGUGAACAUUAUUCGAUUAAGUCGAGUGAGGUGUUAGUUGAUAGGUAAGCUUGUUCUUCUUCCACUUCUUUUCUAUGCAGUGCUGAAAUUGGUCUGCUCUUGAAAUACCACUUUAUUUCAGUUUGAAAUUUCAUCACAGUGAAAUCCUAAGUUAAGAUAGUAUAUCAGGAUUUUCAGUCCUAAAUUAGAACCAAUCAGUUAUUGAUCCUAAAUGUUUCACACUGAAAUUCUGCUCUAUCUCUUAUAUAUGUAUUCUACACUGGAUACUUUUUAGAAUGAACCUCUCUAUUCGAUCACCCCUCUUAAGCAUCUACUUGCACCUUACAGUUAGUUUUCUACAACUAGCAUCAUUCAUAAAAAUGUGACUUGCGUUUCUCACAUUGCAUUUCUGAUUCUUCUAAUUACAAAUUUAGAAUGAAGAAAAAGAUUGCUGUAUAUUAUGUUCCGUUAUCUUUAUUUACUUGUUGCCUCUUUUUCUAUAAUCUUCAUUAUCUGUAUCUACUUGUUCCUUUAACUUAAACAUAGAAGAUAUAUGAUGAUUAUUCAUGACUUUCCAGGAUCCAUAGUUAUUCAAGAAAUUUUAGAAAAGAGAUUUUCACCGAGCUACAUCAAAUAAUCUCAAUAUUUGAGGGUUCAGUUGGCAUAGAGGUUGUGGCUGGCCAAUGAAAUCUUCCAUGUUCUUGAUCAUAAUAAGGUAACAAGAUGCUAUAAAUAUAAAGUCCUGAUGGAACUAAUGUUCUGUUUUUCCACUAUGCAAUAUCUUGUGCAGUAGCUAAUUAAGUUUUGCUCUUUUUUGUUUACUAGGCAACGACUGCAGUUGAAAGCUUAUCCUUCCAACGAAUGACAAUGUGGUGCACAUACUUAAUGACUCCUUCUCAAAUAUGGACAGAUUACAAUUACUUAAAAUUGGAAAUGUGAAGUUUUGUGGAAACAUCAAUUCUCUUUCUCGUGAGUUGCAGUUUCUGCAAUGGCAUGAUUGUCCAUUUGAUUCUUUCCCAUCAGACUUUGCACCUGCUAAACUUGUUGAGCUUCAUCUGCAUUCAAGCCGCAUAAUACAUCUAUGGAGGGGGGAAAAGGUAAGACCUUAAUCAACAUCCAUGUUCAUACAUUCAAUAUUAGUACAUCCUAUUUUUUGGUAUUUAAGCUUUCAAGUUAACAUCAAGUACAAUGGGUGAUAUGUUAACAAACAAAUCAUACCACAUUCUCACCUUAGGAAAUAGAAGAAAUAAACAGUAGGAAAAAUGAAUUUUGCAGCUUAAAUUUUAGAUAUUAUAUAAGAUCCCUAGCUAGCUAGCUAGUCGUGGUUUAAGGCAUACCACUUGAUCAUUUUACUUGCAUGUCAAAUUUUCUCUAGUAUAACGUACAUUUUAUUGAUCAAUUGUUUUCAAUCUUAGACAUUAAUGGAUGUACUUAAAGUGCUUUAUUCGACAUCUUUGUUAAACCACCAAGCAAUUGACUGGAUUUUUUUUUUUUUCAAUCCAUCACUCAUAUUUGUCUUGUGUUUUAGAUAGAUAAAAAUUAUAUGCAGAAGGAUUGUAUAAUAAAUAUUAAAUCACAUGAUUAUGAUCAUCUUCUGAAAUGUACUAGGGGUGGAGUAUGCUACGGCAAAUUAAUUUGAGUGGUACACAACACUUGAUAUCUACUCCAGACUUCAGUGAGGUUCCUGAUUUUGAGAUGUUGGUGCUUCAGGAUUGUACAAGCUUGGUGGACAUUCACCCUUCUCUUGGAUUUCUGAAGAAACUCCACCAAUUAAAUAUGAGAAAUUGCAUGUCUGUUGAGAGCCUUCCAUCCUUCAAUAGAAAUUGGGUCUCUCUCUCAAACUUUUUUUUCUUUCUUUUACAAAGAGAUAUGCACAUACAUUACUCAUUUAUGCAUUCAUGACAUGUUUGAUUCCUAUUUGCAGGACUGGUCUGUGGAACCUCCUUUCGGUUGUUUUUUCUAUGGAAAUGAAAUCUCCAAGGGCAAAUGGUUCCAAAAUUUCAACGAGGGCAGCACUGCAGAAAUCCAACUACCUCUGAAUUUGUUUGAUAAUGCUACUUGGUUGGGAAUUGCUGUAUGUGCUUUUUGAGAUCCCAUGGACAUUCAGACAGCAAUCUUGACCCUCCUGAUUACAGUACAAUUUUAGGUGUUAUCUGGACUCCGAUCCUGCUUCCAGCUUAUGCUCAUUUGAUGUCAAAUUUCAGCAACUUGUCAGGACAGUAGAACCAUGGGAAUUUGUAUCCGAUUUCACUUGGUUCUCAUAUAUACCGCACAAUGGUGUGUUUUUUAAGUUCUGGAGGCCCUGCAAGCACUAGAAAUUCUGCCUGCUGAAUUUGGUACGGGUAUGUCCCUAGAACUUCAGCACGUCAAGCCAUUGUCAGAAGAACAUCAUCGAGAUUUGGGUUGUGUAUUGUGUUCCAGGACGACAUACAAGGGUCUGCUGAUACUAUUAUCCAGUGCAUGCAGAGGGAUAAUUCUCUUGAAUCUUACGAUAAGUUGGUGGUAGAAGAAUGGGUAAAGUUGAUACGAUUGGAAGGUGCCCAUUUAGAGAGAAUGACAGAAUGGGAUUCCAGAACCCCACGGGAAAGAUACUCUGAAUUGCACUCACGAAAAUAGAGAAAUUGGGUCUCUCUCGUCUCCCAUACAUGCAUAAUUAUAAUCAUUCAUAUUACUAUUCCUCUUUUUUUGCCCUUUUCUUUAACAUUUGAACCUAUAUUUACAGAAAUGGUCUGACCCUGUUUAUUGUGUCUUCAAAAGUGUUGAAAUCUCCAAGUUGAAAUGGUUUGUGCCUUUUAUCAACCAAGGGCAACUCUGCAUGUUAUCAGUUGUCCCGCAAGGCUGUGACCAAUAUCCUGAUUCAGAGGAUGUUAUGCUUAAUCACUGUCUGGACUCUUAUGCUGCUUGGCAUGCCAUAUUUGAUUUUCAGACGCAUGGAAGUUUUAGGAUACCCGAGUCAGGGGAAUACUAUGCGACUAGCUUCCUUUAUAUACCGCGCACUGAAGUUCUUACUUCUUAGUAAGAUGUGGAGGAAAUGCAAAUUGGCCAGGAUGUUGUUCUGUAGCCCAAGCUCAGCAGGUAGUGCAUAGUUGUGGUCUGUCUACUAUUUAAGGAGGACAUUGAACAUCUAGUUGAAACACUCGCCUUCCCGCAUUACCUUGAACAUCCACCAUGAUCGAAAAUGGUAACCUGUGAUAUUCAAAAAAAGAAGAAGAUGGUAACCUGUGAGCAGCCUUUUGGGUUUUGAUUAAGGCCAAGUUUGAGAUUGAUGUGUUGUGAGAAUAAUCACUUCUCAUAUUGGUUGAGAAGCUUCUUCUACCGAGAGAGAAAGUCUUCCGACCACAACCGUAUCCCCUCUUCAAAGUGCCUUUCUCCUUCAUGCAUUGGUUGACGGAGUCAAAAUUCACGGCUGACACAGCCGUUUCUGGUGUUUAAAAACUCUGGGCAGACUACUCAUCUUCUUCAUUCCAGGGUGACGUGGGGAAUCUCAGUAGCCCAAAUUGAGGUUUUGCAUGCUUCAAAAAAUGAUGGCCUCCUACCCAGUCCGGCUUCUCCUCUUCUCUUCCAUUUGCCCUCUGGUUUUCUUCUCUGCUUUGUUUCUCUUCAGCUUUAUCUCUUCCGGGUUGUACCUGUUCUUCUUCUUCUCCACUGUUUCUAUUUGCUGCUGCCUUUUGGCUUUCACUCUUUCCCAUAAACAGACACCCGCAACACCAGACACUUCUGCUUCAGCUACCACCAACACAGAAGUGAUUCCUUCUUCUUCUUCGUCGUCUUCUUCUCCACCAUCCUGUAAACUCACCUACGAUGUGUUCCUGAGUUUCAGAGGUGAAGAUACCCGCAAGAAUUUCACGGACCAUCUCUACACUGCUCUCUUGCAGAAAGGGAUACACACGUUUCGAGACGAUGAGGAACUUGUCAGGGGGGAAUCAAUUUCUCCUAAUCUGUUAAAAGCAAUUGAAGAAUCAAGAUAUGUCGAUUCUCACCAAACUAUGCCGAUUCUGCAUGGUGUUUGGAUGAGAUUUGCCAAGGUCACUGAUUGCAUGAAGGCCAUGGGAACAAAAGUUCUUCCAGUGUACUACCAUGUUGAUCCAUCGGAGGUACGAAGACAAACAGGAGAGCACUUUGGGAAAGCAUUUGAGAAGUAUCAGAAGAGGUAUAAAGCGGAACCAAACAAAGUACAGAGGUGGAAAGACUCUUUUUCAAGUGGGCAAUCUCUCUGGAUGGCACCUGCAAGAUGGGUAAGCUUUCUGUCUAUCUAUAUUCUGUAGUACAGUUGAUAAUUUUUUAAAUGACCCUUUUUAUUACACCAGUUGUUUCAUAUGAAUGUAAUUCAGAACUAGUGAAUCAUGCAGAGCUAAUUUAUACACCUGUCUCAAAAAUUAUAAUGUGUAGAACUAAAUCAAAUUAAAUUUUUAAUACUUCUACUUAGAAUUUCAGAAUGAACAAAUAGAUUGGCAUAAUAUAAUAUUUUGUAACUUUAUAUCUUAUACACAUAAUUUAAGUAAGAAUGAUUUUCUCUUUACUUUACAGGUCUGAAUCCAAAGUAAUUCAAGAAAUUGAAGAAAAGGUUUUCACUGAGAUGAAUAAAAUAAUCUCCACAUCUGAGGGCUUAGUUGGGAUGGAUUCUCACCUGAAUGAACUGUUUCCCUACUUAAACAUUGGGGGUCUCGAUGUUCGCAUCAUAGGGAUUUGUGGCAUGGGUGGUAUCGGGAAGACUACUAUUGCACAAGUGGUUUUUGAAAGUUUAAGAGCUCAGUUUGAAGGUGAUAGCUUUCUUGAGAAUGUUAAACAUGAAACUGAAGAGCAGGGUAGUACAAUUCAUUUACAAGAGAAACUUCUCUUGAACUUGCUGAAUACUAAUGUCAAUGUACAAAACACUAAAAUGGGAAAAGACAUUAUUAAGCAUAGACCAUCUACUAAAAGGGUGCUUGUUGUUCUUGAUGAUGUGGAUCAAGAUAUACAAUUGGAAACAUUGUGUCACCGUACUUGGUUUGGUCCUGGGAGUAGAAUCAUAUUAACAUCCAGAGAUGAACACUUGAUCAGUGCAUUUGGAGCAGAUAAAAUAUACAUGGUGAAUGCAUUAACUGAUCCUGAAGCUUUUGAUCUCUUUCGUUUGAAAGCCUUCAAUGAAGAUGAGACUGGAGAAGAUUUUCUCAAGCUAUCCUAUGAAUUUUUGAAAUGUGCUAAUGGCCUUCCAUUAGCUAUUAAAGUUUUGGGAUCGUCUGUUCGUGGCAGAAGUUUAAACUUAUGGUCAAGUGCAUUGAAGAGACUUGAAAAAAAUCCUCCAAAAGGAAUUAUUGAUGUUCUUAAAGUCAGUUUUGAUGGAUUAGAAGAAACAAAAAAGAAAACCUUUUUAGACAUCGCGUGUUUCUUUAAAGGAUUGAACAAGGAUUGUGUAAUAAGAAUACUAAAUGGUUGUGACGAUGACGGUGUGGAGAUGGAUGUACAUGUUCUUAUUGAUAGAUCUUUGGUAACUCUAUUUGGAACAAAAUUGUGGAUGCAUGAUUUGAUACAAGAAAUGGGUCGGGAAGUUGUUCUUCAAGAAUGCCGUGAAGAGCCUGGAAAACGUAGCAGGUUGUGGCUUCCCAAAGAAAUCAUCCAUGUACUUGCUCGGGGUAAGGUAAUGAAAGAUCUGUGUGCUGAAACUCAUCUAUUGUUCUUUUACUAUGGUGUUUCUUGUGCAACAAGUAAUUCUUUGAUUUUUGUUGUGAGGUGACCAGUGCAGUUGAAAGCAUAUUCCUGGUAUGUCCAACAGGAGAUGAUGUUGUUCAUUCAAUUGAUACUGCCUUCUCAAAAAUGGACAGAUUGAGAUUGCUCAGGAUUAAUAAUGUGAAGUUUUCUGGAAUCAUCAAGUAUCUUUCUAAUGAGUUACAGUAUCUUGAAUGGCAUGAGUGUCCUUUGGAUUCUUUCCGGUCAGACUUUCAACCGGAGGAACUUGUUGAAGUUCACUUGCUGUUUAGCCACAUCAAACAACUAUGGAGGGGGAAAAAAGUAAGAUCAUAAUAAUUUUAUGCAUGUUCACAAAGCUGAUAUUUUAGAUUCUAAUCUCAUAUAUUAGGAAAGAUGAAGUGGCUUUCUUUGAAUUGCAUAACCAUAAAAGGUCCCUAGUCGCCCUCAGUUAGACACAUCCUUGAGAGUUAAUAUGGCAUUCUUGAUUUCAUAAAGAAUAUGUCAUUCUCAUACUAAGAUUGGACAUUAGUCAUGUUACUCUUACGUCAACCUUUAUGUAAUUUUACUAAUUUCUGUAAUUUGAAAUCACAAAGGAAUGUGUAAUGAAUAUUUCAAAUCACGUGAUGAUCAUCUUUGAAAUUAUAUCAGGGGUGGAGCAUGCUGCGGCAUUUAGAUCUGAGUGGUUCACCAUACUUGAUAUCGACUCCGGACUUCACUGAUGUUCCUGAUCUAUAAGUGUUGGCGCUUCAGCGUUGUACAAGUUUGGUGGAGGUUCACCCAUCUCUUGGAUUUCUGAAGAAACUUAGAUGUUUGUAUAUGGAAAGUUGCACGUCUAUUGAGAGCCUUCCACCUUUUACUACCUUGGAAUCCCUUCAAAUAUUGAGGCUUUCAGGCUGUUCAGGACUGAUGAAGUUUCCAGAAAUUGAAGGAAAUAUGAAAAGUUUACUGGAGCUUCAUGUGGCUGGGAUGCCUCAAUCAAUUGAACACUUCACUGGUCUUACCAUGUUGAAUCUAACAGACUGUAAAAAUCUUUUGCGUCUUCCGAAAAUAACAUUGAGUGCUUGACAUCUUUGAAAAUUCUCGGUCUAACUGGUUGCUCCAAAAUUGAUGAGAUACCAGAGAAUAUGAAUGGUAUGAAAAGUCUGGAGACGCUUUGCAUUGGGGGAACUUCCAUAAGGGAAUUAUCUAUCGUCGCAGGCAUAAAAAAUCUUCGGUAUCUAUCCUGCCAAGGAUGUAUAUGUCUAGUUUCAGAAUCAUGCAAAGAUCUGGCCUCGUUAUCGAAAUUGAUAGAGCUAGACUUGAGUUAUUGCAAUCUGAUGGAUGGAGAAUUUCUCAAUGAUUUUAGCAGCCUAAUUUCCUUAACAUCGUUACAUUUAAGUGGUAAUUGCUUUGUGCGGUUGCCUGAAAGUAUCUCUCACCUCUCAAAGCUGGAAACUCUGCACUUGAGUAAUUGCAGACAGCUUCAAUUGCUGCCUAAGAAGUUUCCGUUAAGUCUUCGUCACGUGUAUGCACAAGAAUGUUCUUCGCUGUCGGAUUACCCAAAUCAAAUCUAAGUAUUGAAUUCAUCGGGGUCAGGAGUGACUAUUAUCAAUUCCCUUGAUUCUGCAGCGCCUGAAGUCUCACAAAGUUUCAGAAGCUUAAUUUUUCCAAUAAAUGCAGGGGAAUCGAUACAACUGCGUGUGACACAUAAGCAUAGAGAGGGGAAACAAGUUGAUCAUGUGCCACUGACAACUCUGAAACAAGUAGUAUCUCUCUCGCACUCUCAACUAUAUUGGUUUAAGUGCACCUCUGGUACUUUGAAUCCUCUCUAUUUCAUACUUCUAAUUGACGAUGCUUUUGUGUUCUAAGUUGCAGGUGCCUUUGCUCUCAACUUCGGAUGUCAAGAGCAUGCUUGCUAGAGAUGAAAUUUCAGAGUGGUUCACCACUGUAUCUACCAGAAAUUCCAUAUCAAUUCCGAUGCCUCAAAAUCAAGCCGAUGAUAAUAAGUGGAAGGGAAUUGCCGCGUGUGCAAUAUUCGCAGUCAAGGGGCAUAUUGCUCUCUCCCUUAUUGAACCAGAUCCAAAUUUUCUUAAUUACUCGUAUCAAAUCACAUGGGAAACUGAUGACGUGCUUCUUGAACCAGAUGUGUUGGAACUGGAUUCAGCAGAAUUAGGCCGCUUUGGAUUAAGCUCUCAUCUGCUUGUGAUAUUUUCUAUAUCUAGAUCGGUGUUUCCACCGAGGGAGUUAAUUCAAUCAACUGUGGUGAGAGCUAAAUUUGAAACCACUAAUCCAUCCAUGGUGGUCCAGAAAUGUGGAAUGCGUCUAGUCUAUGACCAAGAUGUUGGAUGGUUUACCAGAGUGACUGAGCACGAUGUGAUUUGUCUGGAUCAAGUUGAGAUAAGCACACCACUAGGGGAGGCUCACUGGCUUUGUCAAUCUUUGGAAUGGUAGAAUAUAUUCUAUCUUGUUGCUUAAGUUGGUAAAAAAUGGAAGUAGAGUGUGAAUUGUAAAAGUGGAAGUGUGAAUUUUACUUCCCUCAAUUUUUCGGUCCACAGCUAGUUAAAUUACGCUUUGUGUUUCCCCGUUCGUAAUUUUAAUGUUUAUCCAACAAAUAUUGCAGGGAGAAAAUCAUUCCACCCUUGGAAGAAGAAACCACAGUACUUGUGCUGAGAAAGGACCUCGAGUCUGUUCUUCCAAGAUACCUUGAGUUCAAUCCCUCUGUACUUCUCUCUAGCUAGUUUACAUGAUAUCUCUGAAAUCUCUAAUCUCAAUCUUUGAAACGAAAGAGGUUACUAAUUAUUUUAAUUGCGCAUUUUCAAUAUUACAGGCAUUGAACUGUUAUCCUAAGAUGUUCAAAUUUAACCUCGGAGGAAGUCCAGGGUGGUUUCGUGAGGGGCUUUUCAUGUGGUCAAAUUCAGCCGUAAUGCCAAUGGAGCUGCCUGAAAAUCUACACAAGAGCAAGAAGUGGAUGGGACUGGCAAUAUUCGCAUCACUUGUAGAGGAAGUGGGGCAGACAAUGAAGGAGGACAACUUAGUACAGCCAUCGGGAUAUGAUGCAACUUGGUUCUAUUAUAGACCGUGCACUGCAGCUCGUAAAGAGGUUUGGAGGCAAUGCAAGUUGGCCAGGAUUACUGUGUGGUUGUCUACUCCACGCUUAGCAGUGCAGGGUUGUGCCCUUCGUCUACUAUUCAAGGAGGACGUUGAACAUCUUGUAGAAUCACUGACCCUCGCAGGAUAUUUUUGAACAUCUCCCAGCUGCCCAGUAUCUGCUGCUCAAUCAUGGAGAAGGUAACUUAAUUUUGAGUAGCCUUCCGGCUUAGAUUAAUCUUGUAAGUCACAAUAACUUCUCAUUUGGCUUGGCUGAAGUUCCGAUAUAUAUAUUUGUAUUGACAGAAGGCAAGGUCUGCAAGCAACAGUUCCUAAUGGAGAAUGAGAUAAAAGCGUUGUGUGAUAUUUUCUCAAGCUCAAUGAUAUCUAGUUUUGUCGUGCUCGUCUGUUUUCUCUGUUUUGGUCUUCCUGGUCUCUUGCCUCCAUUGCCGCUGCCCUCCUUUCCUCUUUUUGCUCCACCUUCCGACCUUUGCUUUUCCUCCACCCUCUUAAUCUUUUCUCUGUCCACAGUACCAAACAACCUUAUUUGCCUUGUCCGCAACUCAAUUUCAUCUUCAACCACUAUCACCCUUCCACAAAUUUCCAUACAGGAGUUACGUUUCGUUUUUGAUAAACUCUUCCACCCGUGGUUUGUUUGGCUAUGCACCUGCUGUGUUCUUUGGCGAUGCAAGUUCGCUGCAGUGCUGGUUUAUUUUGACGCCUUUGGUGUUGCUCUUGCAGCUAUGAUAGGCUCUUGUGCGUUGUACUGUUUGUUCUUGCUCAUGUUUGUGCCCUUGUGCCAUAUUUCUUUCUUUAAUGAAAACUUCUUUGUUUAUAAACUCAAAUUGCAAGUUUCUUCAAAUUGUUCAUAAUGAAAUGUCUCGGCGGAUCUCAGUACCUCAAUCACAUAGAUAAAGCAAUCCACUAUAAAUCCUUGUGUUAUUUGUGGUUUGUUUAUUGGUUGCUUUCUUUAGCUUUUUUUUUUUUUUUUUGUACCUAGGAAGCUUACAAUGAUAUAUUGUUUGUUACACUACCUCACAAGUCACAACAUGUGUUGAAGAUCAUCAAUUUCCUCCUGCCUAGCUUGUUCGAUUUCUAGCUGCAGAUCUGUGUUUUGAAGGCUCAAUAUCGUCACAGUCAUCGGCUACACAUGUAAAGCCAGAGUAGAGCUUUUGAUGGACAUUACAGCAAAGUAGCGCCAUCGAAAUCAUCACCCAAGUUGACAACUUAGGCAACGAAAGGAAAAUUGAACAUUUUGAGGUGUAUUCCAAGUCUUAUGAAGCCUAAUUGAGGUAGAGUAUUGUUUGAUAGGGAAAAUGGCCUCCAGGUGUCCAGGGGUAAGGCACAAGCAACUUAGUAUUGUCACAUUCAGGAGCAUAACCAGGUGAUGAGGUUGAACCUGUUGCUUGUUACUUUGUAUGAAACAAAAACACAUUCCCUGCCAUUUUUAUUAGGAAAACCAGAUUUCCAGAACGUAGUAGCAAACCAUCACAAUUACAUAGGAUCCGAUAAUAAACACAUAAAAUGUUUAAAUUACAGGCAUAUACCUGAAAAACAAUAACAUAGCAUCUAAUGCAAACGACGUGUCGCUCCUUAAGGAGAGGUUAUAGAUCGAGAUGACGUGUCGCUCCUUAAGGAGACGUUAUAGAUCGAGAUGACGAAGAACACGGAGAGGACGACCCAGAAUGACUUCAAAGUCUUCGAACCGUGUCCCGUCGCUGCAACUACUUUUCUCGUUCAUGAAUUGGUUGACGCGUUGAAGGUGCCAAAAUUCACAGACACGCAAACGUUUAAAAGUCUGGGCAGACUGCUCCUGCGAAUCACAGUUGCCCAAAUUGAGGUCUUGCAUGCUCAGAUUUCUCACACAGUUCGAACAAGUGAUGGCCUCCUACCCAGUCCGCCUUGUCCUCUUGUCUUGUAUUUGCCCUCUGGUUUUCUUCUCUGCUUUGUUUCUCUUCAGCUUUAUCUCUUCCGGGUUGUACCUCUUCUUCUUCUUCUCCAUUGUUUCUAUUUGCUGCUGCCUUUUGGCUUUCACUCUUUCCCAUAAACAGACACCCGCAACACCAGACACUUCUGCUUCAGCUACCACCAACACAGAAGUGAUUCCUUCUUCUUCGUCGUCGUCUUCUUCUCCACGGUCCGGUAAACUCACCUACGAUGUGUUCCUGAGUUUCAGAGGUGAAGAUACCCGCAAGAAUUUCACGGACCAUCUCUACACUGCUCUCUGGCAGAAAGGGAUACACACGUUUCGAGAUGAUGAAGAGCUUGUGAGGGGGGAAUCGAUUGCUCCCAAUCUNNNNNNNNNNNNNNNNNNNNAUGUGGAUCAAUAUAAACAAUUGGAAACAUUGUGUCACCGUACUUGGUUUGGUCCGGGUAGUAGAAUCAUCAUAACAUCCAGAGAUGAACACUUGAUCAGUGCAUUUGGAGCAGAUAAAGUAUACAUGGUGAAUGCAUUAACUGAUACUGAAGCUUUUGAUCUCUUUUGUUUGAAAGCCUUCAAUGAAGACGAGAUUGGAGAAGAUUUUCUUAAGCUAUCCAAUGAAUUUUUGAAAUAUGCUAAUGGCCUUCCAUUAGCUAUUAAAGUUUUGGGAUCAUCUGUUCGUGGUAGAAAUGUAAAGUUAAUGUCAAGUGCAUUGAAGAGGCUUGAAAAAAAUCCUCCAAAAGGAAUUAUUGAUGUUCUUAAAGUUAGUUAUGAUGGAUUAGAAGAAACAGAAAAGAAAACUUUUUUAGACAUCACGUGUUUCUUUAAAGGAGUGAACAAGGAUCGUGUAAUAAGAAUACUAGAUGGUUGUGAUGAUGCCGGCGUGGAGAUGGAUGUACAAGUUCUUAUUGACAGAUCUUUGGUAACUCUAUUCGGAACAAAAUUGUGGAUGCAUGAUUUGAUACAAGAAAUGGGUCAGGAAGUUGUUUGUCAAGAAUGCCGUGAAGAGCCUGGAAAACGGAGCAGGUUGUGGCUUCCCAAAGAUAUCAUCCGUGUGCUUGAUCAGAGUAAGGUAAUGAAACAACUGAGUGCUGAAACUCAUCUAUUGUGUCUUAUGCAGUAAGUAAUUCUUUGCUCUUUGUUAUUAGGCGACAAGUGCAGUUCAAAGUAUAUUCCUCCAAUGUCCCACAGAAGACGAUGUUGUUCACUCAAUUGGUAACGCCUACUCAAACAUGGACAGAUUGAGACUGCUCAAGAUUAGUAACGUGAGGUUUUCCAGAAACAUCAGAUAUCUUUCUAAUGAAUUACAGUAUCUUGAAUGGAAUGAGUGUGCUUCGGAUUCUUUCCCGUCAGACUUUCACCCUGAGAAACUUGUUGAACUUCACAUGCGUUUUAGCGGCAUCAAACAACUAUGGAGGGGGAGAAAAGUAAGAUCAUACAUAUUUUUAUGCAUGUUCAUAAAGCUGAUAGUUUAGAUUCUAGUCUCUUAUAACAGUAAAGAUGAAGUGGUUUUUGUUAAUCGCAUAACUAUUUUAAGGCCCCUGGUUGUCUUCAGUUAGACUUGCACAUACAUAAAACUUAACAUGGCUUGCUCGUACUAAGAUUGGACUCUUGUUCACGUCAACGUGUCUGUAAUAACUAUAUUAAAUCACGUGAUGAUCAUCUUUAAAAUUAUGCCAGGGAUGGAGCAUGCUACGGCUUAUUGAUCUGAGUGGUUCAGAAUACUUGAUGUCAACUCCAGACUUCACUGAGGUUCCUGAUCUUGAAACGUUGGUGCUUCAAGAUUGCACAAGCUUGGUGGAGAUUCACCCGUCUCUUGGCUUUCUGAAGAAACUUGUCUCUUUGAAUAUGAGCAAUUGCAAGUCUAUUGAGAGCAUUCCACUUCUCACUACCUUGGAAUCCCUUCAAAUAAUGAGGCUUUCACUCUGUUCAGGACUGAAGAAGUUUCCAGAGAUUCAAGGAAAUAUGAAAAGCUUGAUGGAGCUUCAUCUGGAUGGGACCAGCAUUGAGGAAUUGCCUCCAUCAAUUGAAUACUUGACUGGUCUUACCGUGUUGAAUCUUACAGACUGUAAAUACCUUUUGCGUCUUCCCAAUACCAUUGGUUGCUUGACAUCUUUGAAAAUUCUCUACUUAACAGGUUGCUCCAAAAUUGAUGAGAUGCCUGAGAAUCUGAAUGGUAUGAAAUGUCUGGACAAGCUUUCAAUUGGUGGAACUUCCAUAAGGGAGUUAUCUGUCCUCAGAGGCAUGAAGAAUCUUCAAUAUCUAUCCUGCCGAGGAUGUAAAUGUCUAGUUUCAGAAACAUGCAAAGGUCUGGCUUCGUUAUCGAGUUUGAUAGAGCUAGACUUGAGUUAUUGCAAUCUGAUGGAUGGAGAUUUUCUCAAUUACUUUAGCACCCUUAUCUACUUAACAUUUUUAGAUUUAAGAGGUAAUUGCUUUGUACGAUUACCUGAAAGUAUAUCUCAACUCUCAAAGCUCGACACUCUGAACUUGAGUAAUUGCAGAGAGCUUCAAUUGGUGCCCAAGAAGCUUCCGUUAAGUCUUCGAAAAGUGUUUGCACGAGAUUGUAUUUCACUGAAGGAUUACCCUAAUCAAAUCAAAGUAUUGAAUUCGUCAGAGUCGGGAGAGACUACCAUCAUUUCCCUCAAUUCUUCAAUCGCAAAUUUUACUGACACAACCGAGCUGCAUUUGACAGAUCUAGCGUUUAUGAAACUAGUUGAGCUCUCUCUCUCUCUCUCUCUCNCUCUCUCUCUCUCUCUCUCUCUCUCUCUCUCUCUCUCUCUCUCUCUCUCUCACACACACACACACAAAACAGAACAAAUAUCUAUCUUUUUUCUCAACUACUCGGCUUUUGUGUGUUACGUUGCAGGUAUAUUCCUUUUGGUCAGAUACUACGAUUUGCGUAGUUCUUGCAGACGAAAUUCCAGGGUGGUUCAGCACUGUAUCUACCAGAAAUCCUGUAUCAAUCCGUCUGACCGAUGAUAACAAUUGGAUGGGAAUUGCCGCGUGUGCUGUAUUCUCAGUCAAGGGUCAUACUGCUCUCAUUGAAACGGAUGCUGAUUCUUCUAAUUCCUCAUAUCAACUCACAUUGGAAACCGAUGUCGUGCGUCUGAAACCACUUGUGCUUGAUGGGGGACAAAUUGCUCCCCAGUAUCGUUCACGUUCUCAUCUGCUUGUGAUCUUUAAUAUAUCCAGGUCGAGGUUUCCACAGAUGGCGCUCAAUGGAUCAACUGUGGUGAGGGCUAUAUUUGAAACCACCAAUCCAUCUAUGGUGGUCCAGAAAUGUGGAAUCCGUACAGUAUAUGAGAAAGAUGUUGGAUGGAAUGAAAGAAUAGUAGAGGAAGAUUUGGUUUGUCUGAAUGAAAUGGAUGACGGCGCCCCCGUACCGCAGUCUGCCUUCUUGCUUAAUCAAAAUAUGAAAUGGUAGAAUAUAUUCAAUCAAUUACUAACCCCUUUUGUAUUUCUAUCUGCGAACUUUAAUGUAUCUCCAAUUAAAUAUUGCAGGGAGAAAUUCAGUCCACCCUUGGAAGAAGAAUCCACACUUGUGCUGAGAAAGAACCUUGAGUCUGUUCUUCCGAGAUACCUUGAGGUCGAUCCGUCUGUGUUUCUCGAGCUCUAACUAGUUUAUAUUAUAACAUGUUUUUAUCUUUGAAGUAAAUUAAAGAGGUUAGUAAUUGACUAAAUUGCGCUUUUUCAAUAUUCUAUAGGCACUAAACAGUGAUUCUGCGGUGUUCAAAUUUGACAUGAAAGGAAGCCCAGGGUGGUUUCAUGUAUUUUAUCCUGAUGUAAGGCUAAAUUCGACCAGAGUGUCAAUGAAGCUGCCUCAAAAUCUACACAAGGACAAGAAGUGGAUGGGAUUUGUGAUAUUCGCAUCACUUGUAGAGGAAGUGGGGCAGACAAUGAAAGAGGACGGGUAUCAGGUAUAUGUUGCACUAUCAGUUCGGACGAUGUUCCUAAACCUUGAGCACAUCAGGCCGUUCACAGAAGAACAUCAUCGACUUUUGGUAAUUUACAUACCUCGGGCAGGGAUUCCCGAAGCAAAUGCAGUGAACCUUGUCAUCGGAAUCAGUACCCUUCAUGUAAAGGUUCAAAGAUGUGGGUUCCGGAUUGUGUACCAGGAAGAUUUACAAGGAUUUGCUGAUACAAUUAUCCGGUGCAUGCAGAGGGAAGAUUCUCUUAAAUCUUACGAUAAGUUGGUUGUAGGAGAAUGGAUACGGUUAAUACGAUUACAAGGUGCCCAUUUAGAGAGAAUGACAAAACGGGAUUCCAGAUCCUCACGGGAUAACUACUUUGUAAUCCACUCACGGAAGUAUAGAAAUUGGGUCUCUCUCUCACACAUAUACUGUACAUAAGUUUUACUGUUAUUGUUAUUUCUUUCUUAUUUUUUGGCCUUUCUUAUUGACAUUGGAACUUGUAUUUUACAGGACUGGUCCGACCCUCGUCCUGUUUUCUGUGACUUCGAGGGAGCUCAAAUUUUCAAGUCGAAAUGGUUAAUGCCUUUCAUCAACCAAGGCAACUCUUCAGAAAUCCGACUGCCUCUGAACGUGUUCGAUGAUAGUAAUUGGUUGGGGUUUGCCGUAUGUUACCGGUUUUCCCAACCCCAAUAUCCAAAGAUUGGAUCCCCUAAGCAGGACGAGGGCCAGACCAGUAGUACUGCACCUGAUUCAGAGAAUGUUAUGGUUACUCUUCGUCUGGACUCUGGCUUAUUUGAUUUCAAAAUGCCUGGCUCACUGGCACGUCUUCCUUUAUCGGUACUCGGUCCAUUGGAAUACGAUGCGACUCGGUUCGUUUUUAUACCGCGCACUAAAUGUCUUGUUAACGAUAAGACGUGGAGCGAUUGCAAAUUGGCCAGGGUAACUAUGUGGUAUGUUAACCCAUGCUUAGCGGUGCAUAGUUGUGCCCUUCGUCUAGUAUUUAAAGAGGACGUUGAACAUCUAGUGAAGACGCUGACCCUCGCCGAAUUACCUUGAACAUAUAUAUCCCCCAGCAUCUGUUGCUCAAUCAUGAAGGUAACUUAACUGUGUAACAUCUAGCCUCGUAUAGAUCAACUUUCUAAGUCACCAACUGAAAACUAUAAGAUGUAUAUUUCUUAUUUGUUUGUCCUCCUAUAUCUUGUGUAUGAGAACUAAUAAGUAAUGUUGUACUUCUCUAUUUGAAUCAAACUGAAAAUUAUAUAGGAUUGGGUGGAGUUUUGGGCAGAGAGAGUUGUUCACAGAUUCUGGUAGUAAGUUUUUCUGAAUUCAUCUUCAUCAUAGUAAAAUAUCUCGCCAGCUCCAAAAAUAUUUUUGUGAUGUAGGACAAGAACAAACACAAAUCAGCCGGAAGAAGGUAAAAAUAAAGAAGCGGUAGAAUUAAGAAGAAAGAUUUGAUAAAGAUUGGUAAUUCACGUAUAAAGAGAUUGCUAGCCGCUGAAAUAUUUAAGAAAUUAAAAUUUUCGAUUUUCCUAGUUGCUGAGUAAAAAGUCAGAUUUUAACAGUGAAUCAGAGUUGGAGUACCUUUUGGACAGAACAUAUGUUUGGGAUGCAUAAUACAUUUUAGUGUCAACCAAGGUGUCAUUGAAUUCUUCAUAUACCAUUUGAAGAAUUCUAUAUUGAUCAUUAGUGUCAACCAAAGUGUCAUUGAAUUCUUCAUAUGUCUCUUACUCAUCUGCAUCUUGCUACAUUUGAACAAGGAUCUCGAAACCAUUGUAAGUGGAAAUAUUUAUAUUAGCAUUACCUAGACGAACCAGAAGAGACAUAACAUAACACUACUACGACGGUCAAUAAUCCUGAACUGCCAGACUUGGGAGCCUGCGAACGGACACCAACGAGUAUCACAAUAUGAUCAUGACAAACUCUUAGUCAUGUAGCCAUACAAAUAUAGCCCUAGUAUUUUUCUCCUUUUUAUUACAAAAGAAAACUACACCAACAGUGCCUCAAUUCUUAUGUCCCGGUCAGUUUGAUACCUAAAUUUAUAAAGCUGUCAAUGUAGUACCUAAACUUACGUUAUCCUCUUUGGCAUUCACCUAGAAAGAAAAUGCACAAGUAUGUCAUGUACAAGUGAGAUUACAGAUGAAAAUAUUAAAUGAAGUGUAGAUAUGAACUAGGCAGAUGCCCGCGCUUUGCUGCGGGUUUCCGUUUUUGUUAGCUAUGCUCCAGUUACUUGGUUGAUUGAGAAGAGGAAUAUGUGAAAUCAUCAAAUCAAAUGAGGGAUUACAAUUGUAUGAAUUUGGGUUUCAUUUAGAUUUGUGAUUGCAUUGAGACUUAAGCAUAAAAAGACAAUAGAGAAAAAUAAUUUUUGAAACCUAAACUCAAAACAGCUACAAAAGAGAGAAGGCAGAGACCCAUGCUUUUGUCCUAAAAUGAAGACAGGAAGAUGUCGAAAACAGAUCCAAAAGAUCAUCAUUAAUUUCUAAUAGAAUUAUAGAAACACUGAAUAUAUCAAGUCCCUCAGUCUGCUAAACGUGAACACCUCUUAUUGCAUUAGUUUAAGAUACUUCAAUUCAAAGAUCUUGAAGUCUAAUUGAAAUUUUUUUGACAGUCAUAAUUGUAUAUUUGUGUAACUGUCAAGUUAGUUUUCCUUUUAACUAAUCAAAUAGCCUUUAACAUAUACUUCCAGAUGGAUGAAAGACAGUUAAUGCUGUAAAAAAAACUCCUAUUCAGCUGACUGGAACAACAUUCUUUGCAAAAAGUGAAGCAAUUCGCAACUUUAUGUAAUCUCCUUACUCAUCUAUACCUAAUCAUAGAAGAAUCAAGAAUAGAUGAAAAACACAACUCAGAAAGCUGGUAAACUUAUAGUGUAUACUGAUAAUAAUUAUCAUGUCAAGAAGAUACAGAUAUCAACUGGCCAAUCUCUAUAAAAUGUACAAAGCUGAUAAACUUAUAAUGCACCUCAUCUUCUUACAGCAGCAGCUGCAAAGAAUCACCAACAUUUCAAAUUAAGUUAAGAGUAUAAAUCCGAACUGGUUGUACUCCAUCAAAAAUCAAAUCGAAAGAGAUAAGUAUCAAAAAGAAUAGAAGGACAGAGCCAUUUGUUUAUUGUGCUCAACAGAAUUCAAAUUGAGCAAUAUACACAUCCUUAAUCAUUAUAAGUUUUACCAACCCUAAUCCUUUUUAACUAACAGCAGCUAUGAAACCGAAGCAAAAAAAAUUGCAAUUCAAAUUCCUAAAACGUACACAUACCGCCCUGAAUCAAGUGUGACUUGUUAUCUGUGUCUGCAACUGUUAUGUACACCCUAUAGCUGUGUAGAAGGGGUAAAAGUCAGUAGACAAUCUAACUUAUAUAUGAAUGAAUGAAACUUUUUUGGGAGGUGAAAAUCCAAUGUAUAAAUUAGUUGCAAGCCUCUUUUGUAAGCUGUUGCUGGUAUUUACUGAAAUUGAAAAGUUAUGAAAAGGCAAGCACCUGAAAUUACUAUUCAAUACACGUAUACAAAACGAAUUACUCAAAUUUAUCGCAACUGUCAACGCAGACCCAGCCUGCAAUGCUCUGAACCAAAGUAUUGAUGGACAGCUGCUAAUCAUGUACUUGAAAAGAUCCCAAAAAAUAUUUGACAAGUUAAAAACAAAGAAAAUCUAAGAUAGUAUGAAUUCCACUCCAAUAAGUACAUGAUGUUAUAUCAGCACAGCAUUCUUGUUAUAUCAUCUUCCUUUUUCUUUUAUUUUGGUUUGAACUACAUAAAGGUUAUCCUCAUUGAGUUAAUCCAACUUGAGUCAACUAAGCACUCUUUAGUCCUUGCCUUUCAGCCCCUGCUACCCAAGCCAACAACUCAUAGCUGACUCAAAACAAUGGCAGCCAUUACCAUGCUCAAACCUACAAAUCACAGACAGCAAAAAUAAAAAAGAAAAUAAAAAAGAAAUCAGAAAAGCAUGCAAAUUAACAGAACUGCUUUUGUCUGGUUGAGUUUCUAGUUGCACUGGUUAGUUGGAAUACAUAGAAAGAAACCAACUUUGACCCUAAUAUGUCUCAUCUCCUAAACUGGCAACACUCUAAAAAGAUAAGAUAAGAUAACCGGCCUAGACCUGGUUGAUGAGCAGGUAUGCGGUUCGGUCGUCAAAUCUGUCCAUCUUGGCCAAUUCCUCCAAAUCAGAGCCCUGUUUUAAAGAGAAAGGGAAUAUUUUUGGUGAAUUAUCGAACUCAAAUUCAGAAGAAAUUGCGAUUUAGACAAAGAAAAGCAAUCAACCAAAUAUGAAGCUUACUUGUCCCCAAAUUUAUCUAAUCCAAUCUUCCUCCACUCUCUCUGCCCUAUACCUUUCUGUUAACAAAACAAAACGCUAAACCCAUGUCUUCACAUCGAUUCCCAAAUUCAGAAUCUGAAAACGUAAGAACAAUUGAUCAGAAACGAAAGAACCUAAAAGGUAAAUAGGAAAAUAAGAAUUGAAAUCCAAUUACAGACUGGUUGUCGAUCGACCACCUCAGAUCAAAAAUCUGCUCUCCCCGUCUUCCUCACUCUCUCUGCUAUAUCCCUUUCUGCUAACCGAACAUCAUCUCCCUCUCUCUCUCUCUGUGAUAUUUGAAGAAGACGCGAGACGCGAGAAGCUAAUCUGUGCUCUCUUUUUCUGUCUGUUUGAGACAGCUGAAGAAGACGCCAGAAGAUGAGAGAAAGAACACGCGGCAAGACAUUGGUAGAGGGCACAUGUGGAAUAACACACAUCCAAAGUGAGGGCAAAAUCCAAAAAUACACUGUUAAACACUGCAGAUGACGUCAUCUCAAAAAAUAGAUAUAUAGUAAAUAUGGAAGGUGUAGAAAAAACAUUGAGAAUUAAUCUAUUUAAACAACCUUGGAUAUGAAGAGGGUCUAAUGAGUUCAAAUCUGAGAUUAUAAUGCUGACUUCAGUCUCCCAGUUGGUUGGCCUUACAGACUAUUGAUUGAAGGGAAGUGAUAGGCUUAUUGUCUAUGAACAUUCGUCUCAAGGAAUUCCUAGUAGGCUUUGCUGCUUGUAUGAACUAAAACUCAAAACAUCUCCUUCAUCUUACAGGAUGGUUUGAAUACCUACUAUGUUUAAUUUUUUACCUAACCAAAGUCAGCAACUUUAAUGAAAAUUCUGAAACCAGUACAAGUAACAUUUCCGGCUACAAUUGCAUAGGUAUUAAACCAAGCAAACGGAAGCUAAUGCUCAACUUUCUAUUUUCAAGUGGCUCAUAUCUUACUAUUUUCAAGUUAACAGAUACUUAACGAUGGUCAAGAAUAAUCACAGGCAAGAAUUCUAACCUACUGGAAUGCCAGACCUUAUAAAAACAAGCCAUAUAUCUCCGACUCAAACUCAUUUACACCCUUAUCAGCCAUCAUUUCCAUUGUAUAAGUCCUUGUGACCAACAGAGUUGGAUAUCUACCCAAUUGGAAUAUGACUGAAAAUAAACUACUGGGUCAGGCUUAUUCAACUAAAGCAAGUAUCUUGAACACAUCUGUCGUACCAAAACUAGGCUUAAAGUCAAACCCAUGACCACUUCCCCAAAAUCCCACAGAUGAAUUAAGCAAUAGAUUCAUAAAAAUAAUCGAAAGCAUACAAAGUUAGAGAUUGAUGGAAAGCGUACAUACUGGGGGAACAUAGCCUUGAGCAGCAGCGAGAUGAGAUUUGAAAGACAAGGCACGCCUGCUGCUGCUACGUAGGACUAUAGGGGAAUAGUUGGCCCCUGAAAACCCAAGAAGAGGUUGAGGUUUUGAGGAGAAAGAAGCAGAAAUUCGAGGAGGAGGUAUGACCAAGUAGUUGUUUGGAACAAACAACGAAUUCGCCAUUAUAGUUUGCUCUGCUUUUUACGAGUUUAACAAACUCUCCGCUUCUUCUAUCUCCGCCGAGACCUCANNN
Molecule: long non-coding RNA, 21201 nt
Filed under: Fragaria vesca (wild strawberry)
Lineage: Eukaryota; Viridiplantae; Streptophyta; Magnoliopsida; Rosales; Rosaceae
Description: long non-coding RNA (FVES_LNC005628)
Source: RNAcentral